GAAAUGCGAUAAGUAAUGUGAAUUGCAGAAUUCAGUGAAUCAUCGAAUCUCUGAACGCACCUUGCGCUCCUUGGUAUUCCUUGGAGCAUGCCUGUUUGAGUAUCAUGAAAUCUUCAAAGUAAAUCUUUUGUUAACUCAAUUGGUUUCUACUUUGGUAUUGGAGGUCUUUGCAGCUUCACACCUGCUCCUCUUUGUUCAUUAGCUGGAUCUCAGUGUUAUGCUUGGUUCCACUCGGCGUGAUAAGUUAUCUAUCGCUGAGGACACUGUAAAAGGUGGCCAAGGUAAAUGCAGAUGAUACGCUUCUAAUAGUCCAUUGACUUGGACAAUACUUUUAUGAUCUGAUCUCAAAUCAGGUAGGACUACCCGCUGAACUUAAGC
RNAcentral lists this unclassified non-coding RNA (378 nucleotides) under plant metagenome. Its description in RNAcentral is "partial contains 5.8S ribosomal RNA, internal transcribed spacer 2, and large subunit ribosomal RNA". The stretch from base 1 to 105 matches the Rfam family "5.8S ribosomal RNA", at positions 50 to 154 of the family's 154-position model. The record is from RNAcentral.